UACGUCUCACGUAACUGGCGAAACACCGCGUGCGCGCACCAUUCGGAUGCGCGGCGCGGCAAAGGUGGGCACCCACCGGGGAACGUGAGACGCCAUACGCCGUUCGCCUGGGCAGCCAUC
RNAcentral lists this non-coding RNA (120 nucleotides) under Massilia timonae. Its description in RNAcentral is "ZTP sequence". It matches the Rfam family "ZMP/ZTP riboswitch aptamer (pfl RNA motif)". From Rfam's summary of the family: Previously known as pfl RNA. ZMP is also known as AICAR. The record is from RNAcentral. Lineage: Bacteria; Pseudomonadati; Pseudomonadota; Betaproteobacteria; Burkholderiales; Oxalobacteraceae. RNAcentral also lists the same sequence under 1 other name.